Molecule: ribosomal RNA, 253 nt
Filed under: uncultured bacterium
Lineage: Bacteria
Description: partial 16S ribosomal RNA
Rfam family: Bacterial small subunit ribosomal RNA
Source: RNAcentral
UACGGAGGGUGCGGGCGUUGUCCGGAAUCACUGGGCGUAAAGGGAGCGUAGGCGGCGCGGUAAGUCAGAUGUGAAAUCCCGGGGCUCAACCCCGGAACUGCAUCCGAUACUGCCGUGCUAGAGGAUUGGAGAGGUAGCUGGAAUUCUUGGUGUAGCAGUGAAAUGCGUGGAGAUCAAGAGGAACACUCGUGGCGAAAGCGAGCUACUGGACAAUAUCUGACGCUGAGGCUCGAAGGCCAGGGUAGCGAAAGGG